UACACAUUAACUUGCUGACAUGCCAUUUCCAUCUCAGACAAAACAUGGAAACAGAAUGGGAACUCUGGGAAGCAAAUAGAUCUGAAACAUUAGAUAAGGGAAACGCAUAAAGGGUGAUGAAUGAGCACAUGAGCCCAUGUCAGAGAAGAUGCUUGUUCCCUCAACAUCCUUUCUUUGCCAGUAUGUGACGUUCUCUGGGGCAGUUUCCAAUCAUUGCUGCUGUUAGCCAGCUAAUCAUCAGAGUCGUCAACAUCCUGACCCCAGAGAGCACACAAUUCCCUAUCAUCAGCCUCUGUGCACAAUGCAGCCUCGGCAAUGAGAGGAGUUCCAAACAUCCCUGCAUUCUCUGGCUCAAGAUUGGCAUCAUGGGGAGGCUGCCAGGGCUCCAGGAGUGGAGCCAGGGGAUCAGAGUGCCAAAGCCAGCAGGUGGCAACAGCCAGUAGCAGCUCAGAGAGGCAGAUGAGUCUUUCCAGCACUCAGGACAGCCAACAGAGAAAUUCAAAUUGUCCCAGUGAACACAGGGAAAGGUAGAUUUCUACAUGGGUGUGGACAGUGGCAGCACUCUGAGUUCCCUGGCUCAGUUAAAUAGGAGACCAUUACAAAAAGCCGCAACCAAUCAAACUGAAGAGCUGCUGAGACCAGUAACAGCAAGAGAACUCUUUCACCGAAGGCUGACUUAGGAGUCAUUGUAGAAAAGGAAGGAGUGAGAAGUUUGUAAGAACCAAAAUAACAGGGAAUUUUCACCUCUAAACUUUCAGAAGCUACACCCAUAAAGUCUCACCAACAUGGCUGUCUAAACAUGAGCUGAACAAGGACAACACACCGGACACGCUCAUGUGGAUGUGGUGUUUGCAGAGUCCAGGAACCUCAGCCUGCACAAAGAACUACAGGCAACUAAGGAAUGUUGAGACCUGAGAAACAGUCUUUCCCAAGGAAGAGAAUACCAAUUGGUUAUCCUAACAAAUGGUCAGCCCUGAAAAUAUACAUACAAGUAACAGUAUAUAAACUGAGCAGGUUGUAUUUGUGUACUUAUGGGUGUGUGUGUGUGUGUGUGUGUGUG
Alexandromys fortis (reed vole) is the source of this 1060-nucleotide long non-coding RNA. RefSeq lists it as uncharacterized. The record is from RefSeq and is a predicted model, not a curated record. The transcript has 5 exons. NCBI's taxonomy places the organism in Eukaryota, Metazoa, Chordata, Mammalia, Rodentia, Cricetidae.